AAAUUGAAGAGUUUGAUCAUGGCUCAGAUUGAACGCUGGCGGCAGGCCUAACACAUGCAAGUCGAACGGUAACAGGAAGCAGCUUGCUGCUUUGCUGACGAGUGGCGGACGGGUGAGUAAUGUCUGGGAAACUGCCUGAUGGAGGGGGAUAACUACUGGAAACGGUGGCUAAUACCGCAUAACGUCGCAAGACCAAAGAGGGGGACCUUCGGGCCUCUUGCCAUCAGAUGUGCCCAGAUGGGAUUAGCUUGUUGGUGAGGUAACGGCUCACCAAGGCGACGAUCCCUAGCUGGUCUGAGAGGAUGACCAGCCACACUGGAACUGAGACACGGUCCAGACUCCUACGGGAGGCAGCAGUGGGGAAUAUUGCACAAUGGGCGCAAGCCUGAUGCAGCCAUGCCGCGUGUAUGAAGAAGGCCUUCGGGUUGUAAAGUACUUUCAGCGGGGAGGAAGGUGUUGUGGUUAAUAACCGCAGCAAUUGACGUUACCCGCAGAAGAAGCACCGGCUAACUCCGUGCCAGCAGCCGCGGUAAUACGGAGGGUGCAAGCGUUAAUCGGAAUUACUGGGCGUAAAGCGCACGCAGGCGGUCUGUCAAGUCGGAUGUGAAAUCCCCGGGCUCAACCUGGGAACUGCAUUCGAAACUGGCAGGCUUGAGUCUUGUAGAGGGGGGUAGAAUUCCAGGUGUAGCGGUGAAAUGCGUAGAGAUCUGGAGGAAUACCGGUGGCGAAGGCGGCCCCCUGGACAAAGACUGACGCUCAGGUGCGAAAGCGUGGGGAGCAAACAGGAUUAGAUACCCUGGUAGUCCACGCCGUAAACGAUGUCUACUUGGAGGUUGUGCCCUUGAGGCGUGGCUUCCGGAGCUAACGCGUUAAGUAGACCGCCUGGGGAGUACGGCCGCAAGGUUAAAACUCAAAUGAAUUGACGGGGGCCCGCACAAGCGGUGGAGCAUGUGGUUUAAUUCGAUGCAACGCGAAGAACCUUACCUGGUCUUGACAUCCACGGAAGUUUUCAGAGAUGAGAAUGUGCCUUCGGGAACCGUGAGACAGGUGCUGC
Molecule: ribosomal RNA, 1054 nt
Filed under: Salmonella enterica subsp. enterica serovar Mississippi
Lineage: Bacteria; Pseudomonadati; Pseudomonadota; Gammaproteobacteria; Enterobacterales; Enterobacteriaceae
Also listed under: 1 other name
Description: bacterial SSU rRNA
Rfam family: Bacterial small subunit ribosomal RNA
Source: RNAcentral